RNAcentral lists this non-coding RNA (25 nucleotides) under Cricetulus griseus (Chinese hamster). The record is from RNAcentral. Lineage: Eukaryota; Metazoa; Chordata; Mammalia; Rodentia; Cricetidae.
AGUGUGCAGUGGAAUGUGGCGGAAG